Schizosaccharomyces pombe (fission yeast) is the source of this 489-nucleotide non-coding RNA. Lineage: Eukaryota; Fungi; Ascomycota; Schizosaccharomycetes; Schizosaccharomycetales; Schizosaccharomycetaceae. The record is from the annotation of a GenBank genome assembly.
AUCUAUCAUAGCAGUCAAAAGCAUGCAGAUGAUCCAUUGGGAUAUUAGAAAUUGCCAAGCCUUCCAGUUCAUUUCCAUACGAGGCAAAUGAGGAGAAACGAGACUUUUCUUCUCUAAUAUUGAUCUAUUCAAGAGCAAUUUAGUCACAAGUUCUGAUCAUCUGUUCGUACUUGAAUAUGUAAACAUUACAAUAAACGGAACCAAAAGUCAAAGCAUGCAAAGCGAAGUGAAUUUAAACAGUUCAUUCCUUAUUAAAAGAACUGCUUGUCCAUAUUUUUUGACAAGAAUAUGCUUCUUUUAAGAUAGACAGCAAAUAGGCGGUUUUAAGGUUGAUGCAAACAUAAAUCAUGUUACAGCAACUACUUUUAAGGCGUAAAGUUUACCUUCAUAGUUGACAGUAAAUUAUUUUUAUCUUUCUAUUUUUGAAAGCAAAUUCGUAAGGAGAAUAAUAAUAGUAUUAUAAACACCACUUGAUCGCAGUGCUGCGUC